AGUGAACGCUGGCGGUAGGCCUAACACAUGCAAGUCGAACGGCAGCACAGUAAGAGCUUGCUCUUACGGGUGGCGAGUGGCGGACGGGUGAGGAAUACAUCGGAAUCUACUUUUUCGUGGGGGAUAACGUAGGGAAACUUACGCUAAUACCGCAUACGACCUACGGGUGAAAGCAGGGGAUCUUCGGACCUUGCGCGAUUGAAUGAGCCGAUGUCGGAUUAGCUAGUUGGCGGGGUAAAGGCCCACCAAGGCGACGAUCCGUAGCUGGCCUGAGAGGAUGAUCAGCCACACUGGAACUGAGACACGGUCCAGACUCCUACGGGAGGCAGCAGUGGGGAAUCUUGGACAAUGGGCGCAAGCCUGAUCCAGCCAUACCGCGUGAGUGAAGAAGGCCUUCGGGUUGUAAAGCCCUUUUGUUGGGAAAGAAAAGCAGCAGGUUAAUACCCCGCUGUUCUGACGGUACCCAAAGAAUAAGCACCGGCUAACUUCGUG
RNAcentral lists this ribosomal RNA (492 nucleotides) under uncultured bacterium. Its description in RNAcentral is "partial 16S ribosomal RNA". It matches the Rfam family "Bacterial small subunit ribosomal RNA", at positions 29 to 507 of the family's 1533-position model. The record is from RNAcentral.